UUCGGUCGCCGGUCACCACCAGCGCCAAGCUCCACCCUCGCCCUCAUCUCCCCCAUGCGCUGAACACUUCCACCCCCACCCCCUGCGAGCUCCCCUCCCCUUCCUCCGACUACAGCACGACGAGGUCGAUGGUCGCAUCGGGCUCACCUCGUCUACCCCCGUGCGGUCCACCCCCGGAUCCGCUGCAGCCCGCCCUCCCGGCCGGGAGAUUCUCCCAAGCGCACCGGCCGCACCCUGCUUCUUCUCCCCUUCUGACGAACAGACAAACAUGCGAGCCUUUGGGCCAUCCAGUUCAGAAAGCUUUUUUUCUUAGUUUUUUUUUUCAGAUUUGGCUGUUGAUGUGCAGUUCACAAGUAACAGGAGUGCGUCACGGCCGAGCAGCAUGAAUCUCAGUUGCUCAGCUGAGCACAAGGAGUGCCUCCCGGUGAGCACGGGCUCCGGCCAUGGGAUCUCAAUCCUCCAUCUGUCAUGGAUCCUCGCUGGGGCAGCAUGGUGAUGCAGUCCGGCAUGCGCGCGCGUGCAACACGAUUGUGGUGGCGAGGCAGCUCGUGUUGUUCCUUCAGCUAGUGGAGGGUUGGCCUUUAGUUCAGAAAAAAAAAUUAAGUGUAGCUCACUUGUUUCAUUGCUGUAGUGAUCUUGUAUUCCGAGCGGUUCACUAUGUUGCCAAGUGCAAAAACAAAAUGGAAGAAAACAAACUGGAAAAAGUUGAUUUUUUAAUGCA
This is a long non-coding RNA of Triticum aestivum (bread wheat), 721 nucleotides long. RefSeq lists it as uncharacterized. The record is from RefSeq and is a predicted model, not a curated record. The transcript has 2 exons. NCBI's taxonomy places the organism in Eukaryota, Viridiplantae, Streptophyta, Magnoliopsida, Poales, Poaceae.